GACGAACGCUGGCGGCGUGCCUAACACAUGCAAGUCAACUUGACGGAAGGAGCAAUCUGACCGUAGAGUGGCGCAAGGGUGCGUAACGCGUAAGUAACUUGCCCAAGGUAAGGAAUAACGUCGAGAAAUCGGCGCUAAUACCUCAUAAUGCAGCGGAUCCGCAUGGAUAUGUUGUUAAAGGUUUACCGCCUUGGGAUAGGCUUGCGUCUGAUUAGCUAGUUGGUGUGGUAACGGCACACCAAGGCUACGAUCAGUAACUGGUCUGAGAGGAUGAUCAGUCACACUGGAACUGAGACACGGUCCAGACUCCUACGGGAGGCAGCAGUGAGGAAUAUUGGGCAAUGCUCGAAAGAGUGACCCAGCAACGCCGCGUGGAGGAUGAAGGUAUUCUAUAUCGUAAACUCCUGUGAGAGCAGACGAAAGACAGAUUAUUAAUCUGGAUGACUGUAUGCUCAGAGGAAGCCCCGG
This 468-nucleotide ribosomal RNA is filed under the name uncultured bacterium. RNAcentral's name for it is "bacterial SSU rRNA". It matches the Rfam family "Bacterial small subunit ribosomal RNA", at positions 28 to 496 of the family's 1533-position model. The record is from RNAcentral.